RNAcentral lists this small RNA (78 nucleotides) under Dickeya dadantii 3937. RNAcentral describes it as "isrK Hfq binding RNA". It matches the Rfam family "isrK Hfq binding RNA". Lineage: Bacteria; Pseudomonadati; Pseudomonadota; Gammaproteobacteria; Enterobacterales; Pectobacteriaceae. The record is from Rfam by way of RNAcentral.
GCACCAGCAAAAUCUGGUGCCGGGAUUGGCGUCCCGGUAAUUCUGAAGGCGACACAUGACGCGCCGAGCGUCUUUUUU